AUUAAAAUAAAUCAGGAACAUCAGUAACAGUAACCCAUUCGCGAACUAACUUCUUCAACUUUAGCAGCUUCACAAACUCAUAGCUUUUUUUCAUAAUUGAAGCUUCACCCUAAAAUCAGUUCUUCACCUUGAAAUCGCAGCUUCGCAAACUCAGAGUUUAUCGCAGCUUCGCAAACUCAGAGUUUAUCGCAGCUUCACAGACUCAUAACGAACCCAAAUUUCUUCUCCUCAAAAUCGAUUCAUCCCAAAAUCAAUUCUUCUCCCAAAAUCGGUCCAUCCUAAGCAGAACCCUAAACCGUUCAAUUGUUUCUGUGACGAACCCUAAGGUAUUCUUCUCCCAAAACCUGUUCAUCCUCCUCGCUGGUCGCUUCUCUUUUGAGACCUACAGAAACCCUAAUCGAAGAAAUUGGACCAAGUUUUCAUCUCAAAUUGGAUUCGUCGACACUCGCCUCCCCUCUUCCCACUAUUAUCGUUCUUUUAAGGUUUGAUUUGGGAUUGGAGAUUGAAAUUGAUUUACUGCUUCCAAACACAGAAGCUACUCGCCGUUAAACCCACUGCAUGAGUUUAGAUUUCAUUGAAGAAUCUAUUGAUUAAAGAGUUAGACUUGGAGUUUCUAGAAGAAUCCAUUUUGUGAAGAUAAGUUUAAUGCUAAAUUUUGUUCGGGCCUUUUCUUUUUAAUCCAUUCAAGUUGUUCUUGCUACUUUUUCUUGAAGAUAAAAUUUAUUCUACUUGUUCUCACUCUUUUGAUUAUUCAAUAGAUUAUUGCAGAUAAAUUUAUUAGUUCUGAGGUUAAUAGAUGUCGUGAAUCGUGAUAUGCCUCAAAACCCUUUUAUUAUUGCAACUGAAACUAUUAGAGGUGAUGUUUAUGUCUUUGGUGACAGUAAAUAUCCUUUUAAACCUCCUCUUGAUGGUACUUGUGACCUUAAUUUGAGUUUUAAGAGGUCUAAACAUCUAAAGCUCCUAUUGGUGAUAUGCAGAUUUUUAAGGUACAUGAAGGUGUUGUGGAAUGCAAGAAAUGCAAAAUUUCUUAAUGAUGUAUAUAAGGAUUCAAAUUCUACAGCGGAAGAGAUAAAGGUUUUAAAGUGGCGAUGGACUGUGCAUAGGUUGAAAAUUGAACCGUUUUAUUUUACGAAUAAACUUGGAACCCGCGGUAUUGCUUCCAGAGAUAAUUUGGUCUCGUUCGAGGUGUGAUGGUUUAAUCACUCUUUCUCUGCUCUGGAUUUUUGCUGCUGCGUUUCUGUUUUCGUUCAGCUCGUGGCUUCGCUGGUUUGGUGAGUGAGGUUGUGUUCUUAUCCUUGCUAUCGGUUUAGGAAGUUUUUUGACUGGGCAAAAGUGUUUUACCUGCUGCUAUUGUGUUUCUUUUCCCUCUAUUGCAUGUGCAGGUCUUACUAUUUUGGCUCAUUGUUUCUUUUGAGCUUUUCCAUCAGCCUUUGUGUUUUUGGUUUUUUUCCUCAGGUUGUUAGUUUUUGUUUUAUGGAUACAACUCUGUUAUUAAUUGCUUUUCUUUUCAUUUUGAAUACAUGGUACGUUUGUUGAUUACAUUUGGAUGGGUGCUGCUUGAAAUGUAUUCUUAUGCCAUUCCAUCUGCUCCACAGGUUGUUCAUAACAUAUUAUUCAAGGAAUUCUAGCAUUGGCGCUGUUGUGAAUUACCUAGUUUCCGAUUUGAAUCGUUCAUUGAGUUAGACUACCUAGUUGCCACUUGCACAAAUCUUCCAAGAUGUUGGACGGAUUGGUCGGUUGAGGAUCCGCCACUAAAUGGUUUUGCAUUUAGAUUUCUUAUUUCUAUGCUCUUUUGAUUCUUUGUACAACGGCUCCAUCACGAAGGCUCUGUUGCUAAGAGAGAAAAUGUUGUAGUGUAGAAAUCCACCUGAGGCUUAUUUCGAGUUACAGGUAGAGAGGAUGGCAAAAUACUACUUUAUAAUAUGCUGAAGUCUCAUAUUUUAGUGAUGUAUUAUGUUUUUGUUAAGAAAUCAUAGUAGGAUUGUUCAUUAGGAUAUUUAAUGACUAUAUACAUGUUCAAGAUAGUAUAACUUGUAUUCUUUUUUGAUAUGUAAUUUCAUAAGUUUUCAUA
Long non-coding RNA from Trifolium pratense (red clover), 2071 nucleotides. RefSeq lists it as uncharacterized. The record is from RefSeq and is a predicted model, not a curated record. The transcript is spliced from 4 exons. Lineage: Eukaryota; Viridiplantae; Streptophyta; Magnoliopsida; Fabales; Fabaceae.